CAUUAGACGUCGAGGGGGAGGAUGAGAAGCUUCGACAAGGUUCGAGCCGAGCGCAGCGAGACAACGCGCUUUAGCGCGGUAAUCCUUAGAAGCGCACAAUAGGAAUUUAGCCCUUUCCUUAAAAAAU
Molecule: small RNA, 127 nt
Filed under: Serratia marcescens
Lineage: Bacteria; Pseudomonadati; Pseudomonadota; Gammaproteobacteria; Enterobacterales; Yersiniaceae
Description: RtT RNA
Source: RNAcentral